CCUACGGGAGGCAGCAGUGGGGAAUUUUGGACAAUGGGGGAAACCCUGAUCCAGCCAUUCCGCGUGAGUGAAGAAGGCCUUCGGGUUGUAAAGCUCUUUCGGCAGGAACGAAACGGCGGACUCUAACAUAGUCUGUCAAUGACGGUACCUGAAGAAGAAGCACCGGCUAACUACGUGCCAGCAGCCGCGGUAAUACGUAGGGUGCGAGCGUUAAUCGGAAUUACUGGGCGUAAGGCGUGCGCAGGCGGUUUUGUAAGAAAGGGGUAAAAUCCCCGGGCUUAACCGGGGAACUGCGCUUGUGACUGCAAGGCUAGAGGGCGGCAGAGGGGGGUAAAAUUCCACGGGUAGCAGUAAAAUGCG
This 360-nucleotide ribosomal RNA is filed under the name uncultured Rhodocyclaceae bacterium. RNAcentral's name for it is "partial 16S ribosomal RNA". It matches the Rfam family "Bacterial small subunit ribosomal RNA", at positions 338 to 690 of the family's 1533-position model. The record is from RNAcentral. Lineage: Bacteria; Pseudomonadati; Pseudomonadota; Betaproteobacteria; Rhodocyclales; Rhodocyclaceae.